This 253-nucleotide ribosomal RNA is filed under the name uncultured bacterium. RNAcentral's name for it is "partial 16S ribosomal RNA". It matches the Rfam family "Bacterial small subunit ribosomal RNA", at positions 524 to 776 of the family's 1533-position model. The record is from RNAcentral.
UACGUAGGGUGCAAGCGUUGUCCGGAAUUAUUGGGCGUAAAGAGCUCGUAGGCGGUCUGUCACGUCGGCUGUGAAAACCCGAGGCUCAACCUCGGGCCUGCAGUCGAUACGGGCAAACUAGAGUACUGCAGGGGAGACUGGAAUUCCUGGUGUAGCGGUGAAAUGCGCAGAUAUCAGGAGGAACACCGGUGGCGAAGGCGGGUCUCUGGGCAAUAACUGACGCUGAGGAGCGAAAGCGUGGGGAGCGAACAGG